RNAcentral lists this long non-coding RNA (227 nucleotides) under Lathyrus oleraceus (garden pea). RNAcentral describes it as "Pisum sativum (pea) long non-coding RNA (PSAT_LNC017902)". The record is from RNAcentral. Lineage: Eukaryota; Viridiplantae; Streptophyta; Magnoliopsida; Fabales; Fabaceae.
UCCACUAAAACUUUUUGUAAAAUAUCUAAUCCAAUCCAUCCAUUAUAAAUAAAAUCCAUCCAAUCCAUCCAUUAUCAUAUUUUUAGUGGAUGGAUAUCCAUCCAUCCAUUAUUUUCUUUGAAUUUUUUUAUUUUUUUUUAGAAAAUCGUAUUUUAAAUAUUAAUUUUUUUAUUUUUGAAAAAAUUGAUUUUUUUCCUUUUUGAAAAUUACUUAUUUUUAUUUUGUAU